AAACCAACCGGGAUUGCCUUAGUAACGGCGAGUGAAGCGGCAAAAAGCUCAAAUUUGAAAUCUGGUACCUUCGGUGCCCGAGUUGUAAUUUGGAGAGGGCAACUUUGGGGCCGUUCCUUGUCUAUGUUCCUUGGAACAGGACGUCAUAGAGGGUGAGAAUCCCGUGUGGCGAGGAGUGCGGUUCUUUGUAAAGUGCCUUCGAAGAGUCGAGUUGUUUGGGAAUGCAGCUCUAAGUGGGUGGUAAAUUCCAUCUAAAGCUAAAUAUUGGCGAGAGACCGAUAGCGAACAAGUACAGUGAUGGAAAGAUGAAAAGAACUUUGAAAAGAGAGUGAAAAAGUACGUGAAAUUGUUGAAAGGGAAGGGCAUUUGAUCAGACAUGGUGUUUUGUGCCCUCUGCUCCUUGUGGGUAGGGGAAUCUCGCAUUUCACUGGGCCAGCAUCAGUUUGUGGCAGGAUAGAUCCAUAGGAAUGUAGCUUGCCUCGGUAAGUAUUAUAGCCUGUGGGAAUACUGCC
This 512-nucleotide ribosomal RNA is filed under the name uncultured Saccharomyces. RNAcentral describes it as "eukaryotic LSU rRNA". It matches the Rfam family "Eukaryotic large subunit ribosomal RNA", at positions 62 to 570 of the family's 3401-position model. Lineage: Eukaryota; Fungi; Ascomycota; Saccharomycetes; Saccharomycetales; Saccharomycetaceae. The record is from RNAcentral.